Molecule: ribosomal RNA, 503 nt
Filed under: uncultured Paracoccus sp.
Lineage: Bacteria; Pseudomonadati; Pseudomonadota; Alphaproteobacteria; Rhodobacterales; Paracoccaceae
Description: bacterial SSU rRNA
Rfam family: Bacterial small subunit ribosomal RNA
Source: RNAcentral
UAUUGGGNAAUGCGUAAGUCCUGAUCCAGCAAUGCCGCGUGUGCGAGAGGCUUCGGGUCGUAAAGCACUUGUUCGGGAUGAGCGUCAUAACACCAUGCUGACGAUACCGAAAGAAUAAGCACCGGCUAACUACAGUGCCAGCAGCCAGUGGUAAUACAGUAGGGUGCAAGCAGUAUCGGAUCACUGGGCGUAAAGGGUGCGCGGGUGGCUUGCCAAGACCCCUGUACCUACGGCCCAACCGUAGUGCAGCGGAGGUUACUGGUAGGCUGAUAUGCAGGGGGGUAGAAUUCCAGGUGUAGCGGUGAAAUGCGUAGAUAUCUGGAGGAAUACCGAAUGCGAAGGCAACCCCCUGGGCCAUAACUGACACUGAGGCNCGAGCGUGAGCCAACAGGAUAUACCCUGGUAGUCCACGCCNUACAUGUCNACUAGUCGUCGAGCUCCUCGGUGACGAAGCUAACGCAUGAAGUCGACCGCCUGGGGAUUACNGCNCGNCAAGGUUAAAA